CUAUUAUUUUCCCUUUUCUUUUCAAUAUUUCUUAAUCCUAUCGGAUUUGGUUGAAAUCGAGUUCCAUUCCCAGUCUCAGGAUUCUUAAUCAUUUUUUGAGGAAAUGAAGAGUUCCUUGCAAGAAAACUCCUUAUAAAAGUAAUCGUUUUGAAUGUCUCCCCAGUAAAAGGAUGAUCAAGCAGCACUUAAGGGGAUUUUCCAAUUCCUUUGGGAGACAAAUUGAUCUUGGAAAAUCCGAAGAAUUGAGAAGAACCAAAAUAGAUAUUGAAAACAACCUCACACGAAUAGCAAAGUUCAUUAAAAGCGAAGAGCAAAGCAGAAAAGAUGGAAACUCCAAAAAAGAUAAAGAGGUCGUGGGGCUAAUUGAGGACUUCUACGAUGAAUACCAGUCAUUGUACAAAUUGUAUGGUCGUCUAACUAGAGAGUACAUGAAAGCAACUCCAUGCAUGGAGGGUAAUAGGGUGUCCUCAGUGUCUUCCUCUAGCUUAGAA
Cajanus cajan (pigeon pea) is the source of this 491-nucleotide RNA transcript. RefSeq lists it as uncharacterized. NCBI's taxonomy places the organism in Eukaryota, Viridiplantae, Streptophyta, Magnoliopsida, Fabales, Fabaceae. The record is from RefSeq and is a predicted model, not a curated record.